CUUACGGGUGGCUGCAGUGGGGAAUAUUGGACAAUGGGCGAAAGCCUGAUCCAGCCAUGCCGCGUGUGUGAAGAAGGCCUUCGGGUUGUAAAGCACUUUCAGUGGGGAAGAAAGCCUUGGGGCUAAUACCCUCGAGGAAGGACAUCACCCACAGAAGAAGCACCGGCUAACUCCGUGCCAGCAGCCGCGGUAAUACGGAGGGUGCGAGCGUUAAUCGGAAUUACUGGGCGUAAAGCGCGCGUAGGCGGUCUGAUAAGCCGGUUGUGAAAGCCCCGGGCUCAACCUGGGAACGGCAUCCGGAACUGUCAGGCUAGAGUGCAGGAGAGGAAGGUAGAAUUCCCGGUGUAGCGGUGAAAUGCGUAGAGAUCGGGAGGAAUACCAGUGGCGAAGGCGGCCUUCUGGACUGACACUGACGCUGAGGUGCGAAAGCGUGGGUAGCAAACAGGAUUAGAUACCCGUGUAGUC
RNAcentral lists this ribosomal RNA (465 nucleotides) under Vreelandella stevensii. RNAcentral describes it as "partial 16S ribosomal RNA". It matches the Rfam family "Bacterial small subunit ribosomal RNA", at positions 338 to 795 of the family's 1533-position model. Lineage: Bacteria; Pseudomonadati; Pseudomonadota; Gammaproteobacteria; Oceanospirillales; Halomonadaceae. The record is from RNAcentral.